UUGCUAUGGUAUCCGGGGUGGUUGCUAAGGUGUUGCUAGGUGGUUGCUAGGGUGUUGCUAGGCGGUUGCUAAGGUGUUGCUAUGGUAUCCGGGGGGGUUGCUAAGGUGUUGCUAGCCGGUUGCUAAGGUGUUGCUAUGGUAUCCGGGGUGGUUGCUAAGGUGUUGCUAGGUGGUUGCUAGGGUGUUGCUAGGCGGUUGCUAAGGUGUUGCUAUGGUAUCCGGGGUGGUUGCUAAGGUGUUGCUAGGUGGUUGCUAGGUGGUUGCUAGGGUGUUGCUAGGCGGUUGCUAAGGUGUUGCUAUGGUAUCCGGGGGGGUUGCUAAGGUGUUGCUAGGUGGUUGCUAGGUGGUUGCUAAGGUGUUGCUAGGCGGUUGCUAAGGUGUUGCUAUGGUAUCCGGGGUGGUUGCUAAGGUGUUGCUAGGUGGUUGCUAGGUGGUUGCUAGGGUGUUGCUAGGCGGUUGCUAAGGUGUUGCUAUGGUAUCCGGGGUGGUUGCUAAGGUGUUGCUAGGUGGUUGCUAGGUGGUUGCUAAGGUGUUGCUAGGCGGUUGCUAAGGUGUUGCUAUGGUAUCCAGGGUGGUUGCUAAGGUGUUGCUAGGGUGUUGCUAGGCGGUUGCUAAGGUGUUGCUAUGUAUCCGGGGUGGUUGCUAAGGUGUUGCUAGGUGGUUGCUAGGGUGUUGCUAGGCGGUUGCUAAGGUGUUGCUAUGGUAUC
Molecule: long non-coding RNA, 707 nt
Organism: Astyanax mexicanus (Mexican tetra)
Lineage: Eukaryota; Metazoa; Chordata; Actinopteri; Characiformes; Acestrorhamphidae
Exons: 3
Source: RefSeq, a predicted model, not a curated record